This 657-nucleotide ribosomal RNA is filed under the name Bursina nobilis. Its description in RNAcentral is "partial 16S ribosomal RNA". The stretch from base 1 to 585 matches the Rfam family "Bacterial large subunit ribosomal RNA", at positions 1814 to 2925 of the family's 2925-position model. The record is from RNAcentral. Lineage: Eukaryota; Metazoa; Mollusca; Gastropoda; Littorinimorpha; Bursidae.
CAUGGCUCCCUGAAUGUAACAUAUAGGGAGUCGGACCUGCCCAGUGAAACAUUUUAAACGGCCGCGGUACUCUGACCGUGCAAAGGUAGCAUAAUCAUUUGCCCUAUAAUUGAGGGCUAGUAUGAAUGGUUUGACAAGAAUAAAGCUGUCUCUAUGUAAUUACACAGAAUUUUAUUUUUAGGUGAAGAAGCCUAAAUUGUAUUAAAAGACAAGAAGACCCUAUCGAGCUUUAAAGAAAUUGAUAAAGUAUAAUAAAUAUUAAUUAAAAUAAAUUUUAUUGAAAAUUUUGGUUGGGGCGACAAAGGAACAGACAAAGCUUCUUCUAUGAUAACAAAACCUACAAGUAUUGAUCCAAAAACUUUUGAUUAAAGAAAUUAGUUACCGUAGGGAUAACAGCAUUAUCUUUUUUGAGAGCUCAUAUCGAAAAAAAGGUUUGUGACCUCGAUGUUGGACCAGGAUAUCCGGAAGAUGCAGAAGUCUUCAAAGGUUGGUCUGUUCGACCAUUAAAAUCCUACGUGAUCUGAGUUCAGACCGGCGUGAGCCAGGUCAGUUUCUAUCUUUUAUUGCUAAGGUAAGUUUAGUACGAAAGGACCAACUUACAAUAUUUAAUAUAUAGAUUUGUAGAUUAAGUAUAAUAUAAAAAUAAAUAUAAUUAAU